AGAAUCGAAACUGAGAGCUCCUGGGCAGGCUCGGCAGGGCAGGCAGCUCCAGGAGGACUUCGAACCGUGGCCAACAGUUCCAGUGGACCGCGUGGACCCGUGAGCUCAGGAGCCUCAGACGCCUCCCCGGAGAGCCAAGCUGGUGUUCGAGGUGGCGCCUCCAGGGUCCACCCUGCUGCCCAACAGCCCCGCGGCCACCAGAGGGCCGUCCCUGGCCCGGCUGUGUGCCCUGGUGGACCUGUGUCUGGGCUGCUCCCGCUGCACCCAGCGGCUCAAUGAAAGCACCUACGUCCUCCGUAGGGUGGAGCAUGACUGCUCCCGCGAGAUCCUGCUGGCCCGCUUUAAGCAGGCCACCAAGAGCAAGGUCUGGCGUGUGGUGGGCUGCCGGCCCACCUUCCCAAGGCCCCUGUGCUACCAAGUCUGCCACUACUACAGCCCUGGGCUCGGCUGCCGGCGCCACCGAAACCGGUGCACCUUUGCCCGCAGUCGCGAGGAGGCCCUGGUCUGGACCUUCGAGCGUCAGCACAACCUCCAGCGCCUAUGGCUGAAGGCAGAGGUGCAGGGCCGCGGGGCCCAGGGAGGGGCAGGCCGGGCGGCCGACGCCAUCCUUACGGAGUUUGGUGGCCGCUUCGAGCUGCUUUGCUCCCUCUGCUUCAGGCGCUGUCCCCCACGCAUCUGUCGCGUGGACCCCCAGGGGCAGUGCCCUGAGCACGGAGCCUGCCCCUCCCUCCUGGCCCAUGUGAGCGCCGAGGGCCGCCGCAAGCAACAGUUUGUGGCGGUGAGGCCGCAGCCCCGGGCCGGCCAGCCUCCUGCCUACUGCAGGUUUGUGGGGCGUGGGCAGCCGUGCUGGCGUGGGGAGUCCCGCUGCCAGUUCGCACACAGCGCCGUGGAGAUGGCUGUGUGGGAGGCCGAGCAGCUGGGUGGCCUCCAGCGGGGGGACCUGCUCACAACCCCUGCCCCUGAUGGUGACGGGCGCACGGCCCCCCUUGGCCAGCCCCCUGGGGCCCAGCUGUACUGCCCGGCCUGCUUGGUCACCUGCCACUCUCAGGAGGCCUUCGAGAACCACUGCGCAUCCUCGGAGCACGCACAGAUGGUGGCCUUCGACCAGGCCCUGCCCUGGGAGCACCGUUCCCCACCCCCGGGACUCUCCAAGUUCGAGCUCUGCCCAAAGCCUGACCUCUGUGAGUAUGGGGACGCCUGCACCAAGGCACACUCAGCACAGGAGCUGCAGGAGUGGGUUCGGCGCACGCAGGCUGUGGAGCUGCGGGGGCAGGCGGCCUGGCAGGACGGGCUGGUGCCCUACCAGGAGCGGCUGCUGGCCGAGUACCAGCGCAGCAGCAGUGAGGUCCUUGUGGUAAGUGGGCCCUGGGAGUGGGUGGGGUGGGGUGGGGUCCAGGCCUCUUGCUGAAGGCUAGACUUCCACGCAGCUGGCAGAGACCCUUGAUGGAGUGCGUGUCACCUGCAACCAGCCCCUGAUGUACCAGGCCCAGGAGAGGAAGACCCAGUACAGCUGGACGUUUGCCGUCCACUCUGAGGUGAGCGGAGAGCAGCUCCGACUGGGCGGAGGGAGCCCUGGGGAAGUGGUGACUUCAGCCCGGGCAGACGUCGACAGCCUGGGUCAUGGAGCUAAGACCGAGGCACUGCCGCUCAGCACCUGCGUGACCUGCAGCAGGUCCCUUAGCCUCUCUGCCUCAGUCUCCUCACCUAGAGACAGGGGGCCAGGACAGUCCCACCUUGGCAGGGUUAUUCUAUGGAGUAUAUGGGUUAAAACAAGGAUUUGGCCAGGUGCGGUGGUUCACGCCUGUAAUCCCAGCACUUUGGGAGACCGAGGCAGGUGGAUCACCUGAGGUCGGGAGUUCGAGAUCAGCCUGGCCAAUAGGGCGAAACUCCGUCUCUACUA
Molecule: small RNA, 1900 nt
Filed under: Pan troglodytes (chimpanzee)
Lineage: Eukaryota; Metazoa; Chordata; Mammalia; Primates; Hominidae
Description: retained intron
Source: RNAcentral